RNAcentral lists this ribosomal RNA (496 nucleotides) under uncultured bacterium. RNAcentral describes it as "bacterial SSU rRNA". It matches the Rfam family "Bacterial small subunit ribosomal RNA", at positions 8 to 518 of the family's 1533-position model. The record is from RNAcentral.
AGAGUUUGAUUAUGGCUCAGGAUUAACGCUGGCGGCGUGCCUAAUACAUGCAAGUCGAAUGGUAGUAGCAAUACAAACCAUGGCGAACGGGUGAGUAACACGUAGGCAACCUGACUUUAAGACGAGGAUAACCGUUGGAAACGACGGAUAAUACUGGAUAGGACAUCACAAAGGGCAUCCUUAGAUGUUUAAAGGUUAUUAUGCCACUUAGAGAGGGGCCUGCGGCGCAUUAGCUAGUUGGUGAGAUAACAGCCCACCAAGGCGAUGAUGCGUAGCCGGACUGAGAGGUUGAACGGCCACAAUGGAACUGAGAACGGUCCAUACUCCUACGGGAGGCAGCAGUAGGGAAUUUUCGGCAAUGGGCGCAAGCCUGAACCCGAGCAACGCCGCGUGAACGAAGAAGUUAUUCGUAAUGUAAAGUUCUUUUAUCUGGGAAGAAAAACAAAUUGACGGUACCAGAUGAGUAAGCUCCGGCUAACUACGUGCCAGCCGCAGC